AUACGAGGGGUGCAAGCGUUGCUCGGAAUUAUUGGGCGUAAAGGGUUGGUAGGUGGUCUUGUUUGUCUAAGGUGAAAUCCCAUGGCUUAACCGUGGAAGUGCCUUAGAAACGGCAAGACUAGAGUCCUAGAGGGGUUUGUGGAAUUCCCGGUGUAGCGGUGAAAUGCGUAGAGAUCGGGAGGAACACCAGCGGCGAAGGCGGCAAACUGGAUAGGAACUGACACUCAACAACGAAAGCGUGGGGAGCAAACAGGAUUAGAUACCCUGGUAGUCCACGCUGUAAACGAUGGGUACUAGGCUUUGUGGGAAUAGACCCCUGCAGAGCCGGAGCUAACGCAAUAAGUACCCCGCCUGGGAAGUACGGUCGCAAGACUAAA
This 377-nucleotide ribosomal RNA is filed under the name uncultured bacterium. RNAcentral describes it as "bacterial SSU rRNA". It matches the Rfam family "Bacterial small subunit ribosomal RNA", at positions 523 to 898 of the family's 1533-position model. The record is from RNAcentral.